This 818-nucleotide ribosomal RNA is filed under the name Heteromysis ekamako. Its description in RNAcentral is "bacterial SSU rRNA". It matches the Rfam family "Eukaryotic small subunit ribosomal RNA", at positions 600 to 1437 of the family's 1831-position model. Lineage: Eukaryota; Metazoa; Arthropoda; Malacostraca; Mysida; Mysidae. The record is from RNAcentral.
UAUAUUAAAGUUGUUGCGGUUAAAAAGCUCGUAGUUGGAUCUCAGUUCCGUGCCGACGGUGCGCCUCUGGCGACUUACUGUCGGUGCGAACAGCUAUGGUCGGCUCGCACGGGGUUCCCUUCACCGGGUGUCUCGCGUGGCCGGCAAGUUUACUUUGAAAAAAUUAGAGUGCUCAAAGCAGGCCUUCGCCUGAAUAGUUGUGCAUGGAAUAAUGGAAUAGGACCUCGGUUCUAUUUUGUUGGUUUUAAGAACCCGAGGUAAUGAUUAAUAGAGACGGACGGGGGCAUUCGUAUUGCAACGCUAGAGGUGAAAUUCUUGGACCGUUGCAAGACGUACUACUGCGAAAGCAUUUGCCAAGAACGUUCUCAUUAAUCAAGAACGAAAGUUAGAGGUUCGAAGGCGAUCAGAUACCGCCCUAGUUCUAACCAUAAACAAUGCUGACCAGUAAUCCGCCUUUGUUAAUCCCAUGACUAGGCGGGCGACUUCCGGGAAACCAAAGUCUUUGAGUUCCGGGGGAAGUAUGGUUGCAAAGCUGAAACUUAAAGGAAUUGACGGAAGGGCACCACCAGGAGUGGAGCCUGCGGCUUAAUUUGACUCAACACGGGAAACCUCACCAGGCCCGGACACUGGAAGGAUUGACAGAUUGAGAGCUCUUUCUUGAUUCAGUGGGUGGUGGUGCAUGGCCGUUCUUAGUUGGUGGAGCGAUUUGUCUGGUUUAUUCCGUUAACGAACGAGACUCUAGCCUGCUAAAUAGUCGUCGAGUCCACUUAACAAGUGCUCGGCGUAGCUUCUUAGAGGGAUAAGCGGCGUCUAGCCGC